This 672-nucleotide long non-coding RNA is filed under the name Zonotrichia albicollis (white-throated sparrow). RNAcentral describes it as "lncRNA (ENSZALG00000013186.1)". Lineage: Eukaryota; Metazoa; Chordata; Aves; Passeriformes; Passerellidae. The record is from RNAcentral.
GGAGAAGGGUUUUGCUGGCUGGAGGAGGAUUUUUUUGGGCACCCACCCGUGUUGGGUGCACAGGUCCUGGCUUCAUCCUGUGUGACUCCACCAAGCAGAUGGCUGGGAUAAUGGCUACAUCCAGUUGUUGGAGCCACGUGGGACAGCCAAUGUUUCCCUCUGGUCCCGAUUGCUGCUGUGCCAGCCCCAUGUUUGCAUCCCAUAUUGAGCUGUUCUGUUCCAAGGUGUGUGUGCAGCAUCUUGGCUUUGCUUUGGCCAGCGUGGAUAGGAGAUUUCAUCCUGUUUUGUGUUGUUUUGCUCUUCUCCACAUAAGUACAACUCAGGGGCCUUUGCUGUCCAUCACACAAUGCUGGUUUUGCUCAGCUGUGAGUGGCUUUGGGCGCCUCUGAGGGUGUCAAUAUCCUGUGUGUUUAAUGCUUCAGUGCAGCGAGUCCAGAAGCUUGUGAUACCUAUUUUUAGUGCUGAAAAGUUUUGACAGCUCCAGUGAAGCUCCAUUAUCCAUCCCUUGACAGCCUCGUCAGCAGCGUGCAGCUUGUCACUCUCGCUCAGAGCUGCUUUUCCCAGUGAAAUUCAAACUAUUGGCAGGGAUGGGGUGCAAGUGUGUCAGAACUCAGCGUGGAAAUGACAGCAGCUACUGCCUAGUUUAAAAAAAUAUGUGAGAGGAGGUGUUUG